This 450-nucleotide ribosomal RNA is filed under the name uncultured bacterium. Its description in RNAcentral is "partial 16S ribosomal RNA". It matches the Rfam family "Bacterial small subunit ribosomal RNA", at positions 354 to 796 of the family's 1533-position model. The record is from RNAcentral.
GUGGGGAAUUUUGGACAAUGGGCGCAAGCCUGAUCCAGCAAUGCCGCGUGCAGGAAGAAGGCCUUCGGGUUGUAAACUGCUUUUGUACGGAACGAAACGGUCCGGGUUAAUACCCUGGGCUAAUGACGGUACCGUAAGAAUAAGCACCGGCUAACUACGUGCCAGCAGCCGCGGUAAUACGUAGGGUGCAAGCGUUAAUCGGAAUUACUGGGCGUAAAGCGUGCGCAGGCGGUUUUGUAAGACAGGCGUGAAAUCCCCGGGCUCAACCUGGGAAUUGCGCUUGUGACUGCAAGGCUAGAGUGUGUCAGAGGGAGGUGGAAUUCCGCGUGUAGCAGUGAAAUGCGUAGAGAUGCGGAGGAACACCGAUGGCGAAGGCAGCCUCCUGGGAUAACACUGACGCUCAGGCACGAAAGCGUGGGGAGCAAACAGGAUUAGAUACCCUAGUAGUCC